This 1236-nucleotide ribosomal RNA is filed under the name metagenome. RNAcentral's name for it is "bacterial LSU rRNA". It matches the Rfam family "Bacterial large subunit ribosomal RNA", at positions 1564 to 2810 of the family's 2925-position model. The record is from RNAcentral.
UGAGUACGAGAUGCUACGGCAUUGAAGCAGUCUAUGUCAUACUUCCAAGAAAAGCUUGCACUGUCAUAAACAAAGAAUGCCUGUACCAUAACCGACACAGGUGGGUAGGUAGAGUAUACUAAGGGGCGCGAGAUAACUCUCUCUAAGGAACUCGGCAAAAUGACUCCGUAACUUCGGGAGAAGGAGUGCCUUAUUUUUAAGGUUGCAAUAACAAGAUCCAAGCAACUGUUUAUCAAAAACACAGGUCUCCGCUAAGUCGUAAGACGAUGUAUGGGGGCUGACGCCUGCCCAGUGCCAGAAGGUUAAAGAAGUUGGUUAGCAUUCGCGAAGCUGAUAACUGAAGCCCUGGUGAACGGCGGCCGUAACAAUAACGGUCCUAAGGUAGCGGAAUUCCUUGUCGGGUAAGUUCCGACCCGCACGAAAGGCGUAAUGAUUUGGAUACUGUCUCGGAGAGGGACUCGGUGAAAUAGACUUGUCUGUGAAGAUGCGGACUACCUGCACCUGGACAGAAAGACCCUAUGAAGCUUUACUGUAACUUGAAAUUGAAAUUGGACUUUAGUUGCGCAGGAUAGGUGGGAGGCGUUGAGAAUAUUCUUGCGGGAGUAUUGGAGCCAUCAGUGAGAUACCACUCUUCUAAUGUUAGAUUUCUAACUUUGUAUCAUUAUCUGGUCAAAGAACAGUUUCAGGCGGGCAGUUUGACUGGGGCGGUCGCCUCCUAAAGGGUAACGGAGGCGCACAAAGGUUUCCUCUGAACGAGUAGAAAUCGUAUCUAGAGUGUAAAGGCAUAAGGAAGCUUGACUGUGAGACCUACAAGUCGAGCAGGGACGAAAGUCGGUCUUAGUGAUCUGACGGUGCUGAGUGGAAAGGCCGUCACUCAACGGAUAAAAGUUACUCUAGGAUAACAGGCUGAUCUCCCCCAAGAGUUCACAUCGACGGGGAGGUUUGGCACCUCGAUGUCGGCUCAUCGCAUCCUGGGGCGGUAGUACGUCCCAAGGGUUGGGCUGUUCGCCCAUGAAAGCGGUACGCGAGCUGGGUUCAGAACGUCGUGAGACAGUUCGGUCCAUAUCCGGUGUAGGCGUUAGAAUAUUGAGAGGAGCCUUCUCUAGUACGAGAGGACCGAGAAGGACAUACCUCUAGUGUACCAGUUAUCGUGCCAACGGUAAACGCUGGGUAGCUAUGUAUGGAGUGGAUAACCGCUGAAAGCAUCUAUGUGGGAAGCCCACCUCAAGAUAAGUA